AAAUUGAAGAGUUUGAUCAUGGCUCAGAUUGAACGCUGGCGGCAGGCCUAACACAUGCAAGUCGAGCGGUAGCACAGAGAGCUUGCUCUCGGGUGACGAGCGGCGGACGGGUGAGUAAUGUCUGGGAAACUGCCUGAUGGAGGGGGAUAACUACUGGAAACGGUAGCUAAUACCGCAUAAUGUCGCAAGACCAAAGUGGGGGACCUUCGGGCCUCAUGCCAUCAGAUGUGCCCAGAUGGGAUUAGCUAGUAGGUGGGGUAACGGCUCACCUAGGCGACGAUCCCUAGCUGGUCUGAGAGGAUGACCAGCCACACUGGAACUGAGACACGGUCCAGACUCCUACGGGAGGCAGCAGUGGGGAAUAUUGCACAAUGGGCGCAAGCCUGAUGCAGCCAUGCCGCGUGUGUGAAGAAGGCCUUCGGGUUGUAAAGCACUUUCAGCGGGGAGGAAGGCGGUGAGGUUAAUAACCUCACCGAUUGACGUUACCCGCAGAAGAAGCACCGGCUAACUCCGUGCCAGCAGCCGCGGUAAUACGGAGGGUGCAAGCGUUAAUCGGAAUUACUGGGCGUAAAGCGCACGCAGGCGGUCUGUCAAGUCGGAUGUGAAAUCCCCGGGCUUAACCUGGGAACUGCAUUCGAAACUGGCAGGCUAGAGUCUUGUAGAGGGGGGUAGAAUUCCAGGUGUAGCGGUGAAAUGCGUAGAGAUCUGGAGGAAUACCGGUGGCGAAGGCGGCCCCCUGGACAAAGACUGACGCUCAGGUGCGAAAGCGUGGGGAGCAAACAGGAUUAGAUACCCUGGUAGUCCACGCCGUAAACGAUGUCGAUUUGGAGGUUGUGCCCUUGAGGCGUGGCUUCCGGAGCUAACGCGUUAAAUCGACCGCCUGGGGAGUACGGCCGCAAGGUUAAAACUCAAAUGAAUUGACGGGGGCCCGCACAAGCGGUGGAGCAUGUGGUUUAAUUCGAUGCAACGCGAAGAACCUUACCUGGUCUUGACAUCCACAGAACUUAGCAGAGAUGCUUUGGUGCCUUCGGGAACUGUGAGACAGGUGCUGCAUGGCUGUCGUCAGCUCGUGUUGUGAAAUGUUGGGUUAAGUCCCGCAACGAGCGCAACCCUUAUCCUUUGUUGCCAGCGGUCCGGCCGGGAACUCAAAGGAGACUGCCAGUGAUAAACUGGAGGAAGGUGGGGAUGACGUCAAGUCAUCAUGGCCCUUACGACCAGGGCUACACACGUGCUACAAUGGCAUAUACAAAGAGAAGCGACCUCGCGAGAGCAAGCGGACCUCAUAAAGUAUGUCGUAGUCCGGAUUGGAGUCUGCAACUCGACUCCAUGAAGUCGGAAUCGCUAGUAAUCGUAGAUCAGAAUGCUACGGUGAAUACGUUCCCGGGCCUUGUACACACCGCCCGUCACACCAUGGGAGUGGGUUGCAAAAGAAGUAGGUAGCUUAACCUUCGGGAGGGCGCUUACCACUUUGUGAUUCAUGACUGGGGUGAAGUCGUAACAAGGUAACCGUAGGGGAACCUGCGGUUGGAUCACCUCCUUA
Molecule: ribosomal RNA, 1540 nt
Filed under: Klebsiella pneumoniae
Lineage: Bacteria; Pseudomonadati; Pseudomonadota; Gammaproteobacteria; Enterobacterales; Enterobacteriaceae
Description: bacterial SSU rRNA
Rfam family: Bacterial small subunit ribosomal RNA
Source: RNAcentral